UCGGGAAUUUUGGGCAAUGGGCGAAAGCCUGACCCAGCAACGCCGCGUGAAGGAUGAAGUAUUUCGGUAUGUAAACUUCGUAAGAAUAGGAAGAAUAAAUGACGGUACUAUUUGUAAGGUCCGGCUAACUACGUGCCAGCAGCCGCGGUAAUACGUAGGGACCAAGCGUUGUUCGGAUUUACUGGGCGUAAAGGGCGCGUAGGCGGCGUGGUAAGUCAUCUGUGAAAUCUCCGGGCUUAACUCGGAACGGUCAGAUGAUACUGCUUUGCUAGAGUGCAGAAGGGGCAAUCGGAAUUCUUGGUGUAGCGGUGAAAUGCGUAGAUAUCAAGAGGAACACCUGAGGUGAAGACGGGUUGCUGGGCUGACACUGACGCUGAGGCGCGAAAGCCAGGGGAGCAAACGGGAUUAGAUACCCGGGUAGUCCCUGAGCGGGCUGGCAAGGCGCAU
RNAcentral lists this ribosomal RNA (447 nucleotides) under uncultured bacterium. RNAcentral's name for it is "bacterial SSU rRNA". It matches the Rfam family "Bacterial small subunit ribosomal RNA", at positions 355 to 825 of the family's 1533-position model. The record is from RNAcentral.